GAUGAACGCUGGCGGCGUGCCUAAUACAUGCAAGUCGAGCGAACGGGCGAGAAGCUUGCUUCUCUGAUGUUAGCGGCGGACGGGUGAGUAACACGUGGAUAACCUACCUAUAAGACUGGGAUAACUUCGGGAAACCGGAGCUAAUACCGGAUAAUAUUUUGAACCGCAUGGUUCAAAAGUGAAAGACGGUCUUGCUGUCACUUAUAGAUGGAUCCGCGCUGCAUUAGCUAGUUGGUAAGGUAACGGCUUACCAAGGCAACGAUGCAUGGCCGACCUGAGAGGGUGAUCGGCCACACUGGAACUGAGACACGGUCCAGACUCCUACGGGAGGCAGCAGUAGGGAAUCUUCCGCAAUGGGCGAAAGCCUGACGGAGCAACGCCGCGUGAGUGAUGAAGGUCUUCGGAUCGUAAAACUCUGUUAUUAGGGAAGAACAUAUGUGUAAGUAACUGUGCACAUCUUGACGGUACCUAAUCAGAAAGCCACGGCUAACUACGUG
RNAcentral lists this ribosomal RNA (497 nucleotides) under uncultured bacterium. RNAcentral describes it as "partial 16S ribosomal RNA". It matches the Rfam family "Bacterial small subunit ribosomal RNA", at positions 28 to 507 of the family's 1533-position model. The record is from RNAcentral.